RNAcentral lists this transfer RNA (57 nucleotides) under Cupriavidus sp. RNAcentral describes it as "tRNA-Ser". It matches the Rfam family "tRNA", at positions 19 to 71 of the family's 71-position model. Rfam says of the family: Transfer RNA (tRNA) molecules are approximately 80 nucleotides in length. Their secondary structure includes four short double-helical elements and three loops (D, anti-codon, and T loops). Lineage: Bacteria; Pseudomonadati; Pseudomonadota; Betaproteobacteria; Burkholderiales; Burkholderiaceae. The record is from RNAcentral.
UAGAGUACUGCCCUCCGAAGGCAGGGGUUGCUGGUUCGAUCCCAGCCGGGCGCGCCA